Molecule: non-coding RNA, 71 nt
Organism: Teladorsagia circumcincta
Lineage: Eukaryota; Metazoa; Nematoda; Chromadorea; Rhabditida; Trichostrongylidae
Source: the annotation of a GenBank genome assembly
UGCAUCGGCCGGGAAUCGAACCCUAGCCGCCCGCGUGGCAGGCGAGCAUUCUGCCCUUGAACCACUGAUAC